This is an RNA transcript of Pecten maximus, 4729 nucleotides long. RefSeq lists it as uncharacterized. The record is from RefSeq and is a predicted model, not a curated record. The transcript has 2 exons. NCBI's taxonomy places the organism in Eukaryota, Metazoa, Mollusca, Bivalvia, Pectinida, Pectinidae.
ACCGAUAGGACGUCGGACAUUUUUAUCAGAAACAUUGUCAUUUGGUUCAUCACUAUUACACACAAUGGAAUGUCCUAAACACACAAGUGAGAAAGUGUUCAUGGUGUGUAAAUCGUGUGUAAAGUACCCUCUUGUCUGUGGAUUUUGUAUUGAAGAAGGGGAACAUACAGAACACAAACUCCAGACAUUACGGAACGCCGCUCAGUCUAUUCGUGAGGACUUGGAACAGGUAGAAAAGGACAAAUGUCAAGUGUUUGAUGAGAUCAAAUCUGACCUGAAAGGUCUCGCUAAAAUUAGGGAGGAUCAGAAAAUGGAAGCGAGUCGCGUUGGUGACGAAAUCGUAAAACGUGUUGUUGACAUCAAAGGUGAAGUGGACACCGUAAACAAGGAAGUAGCAGAGAAACAUAAAACUGAGCUCGAUAAGAAUAAGGCGGUCAUCGACAACACGGAAAUAGCACUGACACAACAAGUGUCCCGAAUAGAAAUUUUCCAGAAGAAGGUGGCUCAGCUACAGAAGACUGAACGACUACGUGGAGGUGAUCAUGGUCGCUAGGGACGUGGAGAUCCCGGACACCAGUCGUAUCCCGAAGCCUGACAUACAGAACCUGAAAUUCUUGCCGGGGAUUGUCAAUGGCACGGAAGUAGAGAAAAUGUUGGGGACUAUUACAGGAGAGGGUGAUGAUAACAUCACUACUGUGAAUACAUGUGAGGAAGAAGAUGACAAAUCCAACAUCUCAUCUGACUUUGUUGGAUCCAUCCAAAGAGAAUCAAAUAUCGAAGUGACACAGAUUAAGUCCUUUCAACUUUCCCAAAAGGAUGAGAUACGUUAUAUGUUUUCUCCUGAACCAGAUGUUUGUUUGCUUAAAUGCACAGACAGAAAUAGUGUUAAACAUUCCAACGGAACUGGCCAAAUUAAACACUCUAUCAACCUGGGAACUAAGACCGAUGGCUUUACUGUCACUACAGAUAACCGGUUACUAUUCUGUUGUACACACCAGGAAUGUAUCAAGGAGAUGGAACUGCCGAGUGGUGAGAUUAUAGAGAAGAUCGACACCAGUCCCCUAAUACCAAACUGUAUAUGUACCGGUCCUUCUGGGGAUAUCUACGUUACGCUGUACGAUGAGGACGGCUGUGACGUAACAGAGGACAGCACACGUGUUUUGGACAGGUAUAACAGGUGGGGUCGAAAGAAAAAAAGGUGUAAGAAUGAUAGAUGUGGUCGGAACAUAUUUGUUUUACCAGAUGAAAUUUGCGUAAACAACACUGGAACACGAGUAGCAGUGAUUAACAAAAUUAAUGAAAGACGAAGUGAGCUGAUCCUUCUUGAUAAGGGCCUACGUCCUGUACUUAUCUAUAGAGGACCCAGCGUGAUAACCGGCAACGUAAUGGGAGGUUUUGAGCUGACUGGGGUCAUAUUUGAUUCAAGAGACAACAUUUUGACAACUGAAGUUUUUAGUAACACUGUUCAACUUUUGAGUCCAUCUUGCGAGCCACUGAAGACCUUGAUGAUAAUGGAUACCAUCCCAUGUUGCAUGACGAUACACGGUAACGAAGUGUGGGUUGGUGACAAUUACGGUAAUGUGGUGACGUUUAGGUAUUCUUAUUAGAAGGUAAGAUAUAUUCGGUAUUAACAAAUAGUAUGUCACAUCACAACGUCUUGUCACAAUAAAGACAGGGAUAUUGUGUAGACUGGAUAAACAGUAAUACCAGGGUUGCAAUGAAUGGUCAACUAAUGUAGGGGUCUAAAGUUUGCAAUCGUCAAUUCAUGACCAUUCAAUGAGAUAUCACAAGGAAAUUACUUGCAGUAACAACGAUGCAGUGUGAAUACCUUUGGGUAGUCUUGGUUCCACAAACAAUGUACUUGUUUUUUUUCUUCUGUUAUAUAUCGUUACAGCACAUCAUCUUGGUCAAACUUUCAAAACUCUUGAACGCUCACUUAGCAACUCAGUCUGAGAUAGGUAUCACAUAAUAUGCCACUUAUACCUUAUUAACUACUAUCUACCGUAUGCGAUGAUCUCUUAGAACUACUAAUAUCGGAUUCUUCUCUAGUGUUACACAGAAUAUUUUCCCGGUGCUAGUAUUUCAUACCAACAUACAGCCUUUGGUUUAUUGAUUGUUUGAAAUACUCCACCUUGUUAAGAAUAACCAGACAUAUACCCGAAAUGCUAGUACAACUAAAGUUAAAUUAUUUUCACACUUUCACAUUUUUUAAAAUGCAAAUAUUAAAACACGUAUAAAUUUGCAUAUUGCUAUCGAAGAUGAAUGUCCAUAACUUCCAUUACAUUUCAUAACAUAUCUCCUUGACCACAGGCGCUUGCAUAGGAAAUGUGAUUUUCAUUUUUUUUAUAUGACAGUGGUAUGUGUACUCUGUAAAGUACCACACAGUACACAUACCACUGAUAUCAUUUUUUUUUAAUUCUCAUUUUCUAUGCAAGCGUCGGUGUCCUUGACUGGUGAAGUCCAAAGCGGCUUUGUUCAGGACGAAUAAUACCGGAUUCACGUCUGAUAUCUGGCAUUAUGUUUAUGUAACCUUGAUAAAUACUAACCGCAAUCUACCACUCGGCCAGAGACUAGUAAACCAGAAGUGCCGAGUUCGAUCCCUAGCGGAGACAUUGAUUUAUAUUUAAUUAAUCACGCGCUCUGUUACGCUUAGAAAUUAUAAAAAUGAGAUGGUUUUUUUUAAAUUUUGUUAUCGGUUAUCUAUGGAAAGGCCGAUAAGAUAUUUCACUUUCAACAAAAGAACGACAAAAUGUCUAGUUUUUAAGGGGUGUUUGUUAGAUUGAUUUUUUCUCGUAAGGACGACUAUUAUUGAUUGGUGUGCGAGAAUAGGCGAUUAUCAUACGCACAUGUGUAUUUGGUGUGUAGGAUAGGUGUGGAAAAGGAACAAAUAUUUUCAAAUUCAAAUAAUGGCGAUUACUGAUAUUUGUAAUUUGGGAUGAUCAGAUACUCAUUGGUUGCAGAGGGCGAUGAUGCUGGGGAAUAAGCAAAAUUGUAGUCAAAAGAAUAUAAUACUACUGUUUUAUUAUCUCAGUUUCCAUGAUGUAGGAUGCGUAACAAGAUUUCAAACAAAACAAGUUGAAAAUAAAGCAAAUGUAAUUUUACCAAGUUUUAGUACUAUGGUACAGUUAACUACAUUAUAUUUUAUAAUUAAUCUUCCAUUACUUAUUCAAUAAUAAUAAUUAUGAAAAAUAAAUCUUUGUCCUUUAUUGCAAAUACUAAUUUCCUUUGCUUACUAUGCACAUUUUACUUGAGCAAGACUGAUUACUGUCUGUAAAUAAGAGUUGUUCCCCUUUGAUAACAUAAUUUCUCGGCUUGCUGGCUGUAAUUUAAAGAGGUUUGGGUGUUAUGUAAUACUUAAGUUUUCAAUAUGAAAGCGUAACUAUUCCUUAUUUCUAAUUGUUGAUGCGACCUGAACCGCUCAGUGACUACUUUUAAAACAACAGAAGCAUAAGAUGCCAGUUGCAUUCAUAUUUUUGUAUUCACAAUAUGCUCAUGGAAGGAGUGUUACAUAUUGUACUACCUGCCUGUGAAGUGUCCUGUUCAGGAUUUGACUUAUAUUAAGCCAAAAUCGAUAAUAUCUUACUUUGGACUAGAAAACGUGAGAUGAGAUCAAAUAUUGCGGUUCGAUAAAAAUGUAGCGCUUGUCCUGUGACGGUAGGUCCUAGGUAGGAAACCCAAGGUCCGUAUACAUGAAACCAUUUUAUCCGCAAGCAUGAGAUCCGGGCUCAACCAAGCUUCCUUUAAACUCACUUAAAUCAGGAAAUAACAGUUUUAAGGAAAAUUACAUACGACGUGAAGCCUCUCUGAAAUAUCUUCAAAUCAUUAAAAACUGUUUAUUCAGAUAUCAGACUUAUAAAAAAAGUAUUUGAGUCUGAUCACAGAUGUGUAUUUGAGCGUUACUACAGACUCAUAAAACAGUCGUACCUGCAUGUAACCGAAUCUUAAUACAAAUGUGUUCACAUACCUAUCUAUAAAUAUUAAUAUUACAUAAACAUUGGACGAUUAAAUGUAGACAAUGACAUUCCAUACCUGUUUUAUUGAUUAUUUAACUAGUGAUCUACCAAAAUAUCAACCAGUUGAACACUGAAAAUACUACGCUAAAAUUUGGUCAGGCCUUAAACUUGUAGAGGUCUGUUCACUUUUUGUUAUGGAAAAAUCAACAGACCACUUAAAUAUUAAGUUUCCAACAAAGAUUAGAGUGAUAAGAAAUUAGGAGUCAGUCUGUGUGUCAAGUUAGAAAUAACACGUUAUGUCGAUAUAUUCUAUGUUUUAGAGGAGAAUUUUACGCUGAGAGUGCCGCUGGUCUAAUUACACAUUAUGAUUUAAAAUGGAUGAUAAAUCAAAAUAAUUCCAUUUCCGGAUUUGUCUAUUUAACACGGUGAACAAGUCUGCUUUGGCUCUCAUUCCCUUAUAUGAAUAGUUAUAGAUAAAUAAUGUGGGACACUUUUUGACAUGGUUUUGUUAGGUAUAGAGUAGUUUACCAGUCACAGUCGUAGGAGUAUUAGAAGAGUUAUAUAGGAUUUUAAUUCAGAGUUUUUACUGUCGUCUAUUUUAAGGUGUUCGACAGUAUAGCCAUUUAGUUAUAAUAACGUAUGCUCUGGUAUAUAUAUAGCCAUGUUUUGUAGUGUCAGUGUGUGUGUUUGUGGCAGAUUACGGAAUACGAGACAAUAGUUAUGUCCUUUAAUAUCGUAUAUAUAUUUGUUAUUUCAAUAAAACUACUUGAACUUUA